RNAcentral lists this ribosomal RNA (636 nucleotides) under uncultured bacterium. Its description in RNAcentral is "bacterial SSU rRNA". It matches the Rfam family "Bacterial small subunit ribosomal RNA", at positions 26 to 674 of the family's 1533-position model. The record is from RNAcentral.
AGGACGAACGCUGGCGGCGUGCUUAACACAUGCAAGUCGAACGGAAAGGCUCCAGCUUGCUGGAGUACUCGAGUGGCGAACGGGUGAGUAACACGUGGGUAAUCUGCCCUGCACUCUGGGAUAAGCCUGGGAAACUGGGUCUAAUACUGGAUAUGACCUUUCUCCUUAUGGGGUUUGGUGGAAAGUUUUUCGGUGUAGGAUGAGCCCGCGGCCUAUCAGCUUGUUGGUGGGGUGAUGGCCUACCAAGGCGACGACGGGUAGCCGGCCUGAGAGGGUGAUCGGCCACAUUGGGACUGAGAUACGGCCCAGACUCCUACGGGAGGCAGCAGUGGGGAAUAUUGCACAAUGGGCGGAAGCCUGAUGCAGCGACGCCGCGUGAGGGAUGACGGCCUUCGGGUUGUAAACCUCUUUCAGCAGGGACGAAGCGUAAGUGACGGUACCUGCAGAAGAAGCACCGGCUAACUACGUGCCAGCAGCCGCGGUAAUACGUAGGGUGCGAGCGUUGUCCGGAAUUACUGGGCGUAAAGAGCUCGUAGGCGGUUUGUCACGUCGUCUGUGAAAUCCCUCGGCUUAACCGGGGGCGUGCAGGCGAUACGGGCAGACUUGAGUACUACAGGGGAGACUGGAAUUCCUGGU